Long non-coding RNA from Mus musculus (house mouse), 4594 nucleotides. RefSeq annotates it as predicted gene, 33031. The record is from RefSeq and is a predicted model, not a curated record. Lineage: Eukaryota; Metazoa; Chordata; Mammalia; Rodentia; Muridae. The transcript has 7 exons.
CUGCGCGCGCCCCCGCCGGCCAUGCACUCCAUGAAGGGCCCAUUAGCGAGGCAGGUGCCUCCGGGACUGUAAAUUUGCCCCCUGAUUUAUCUCCCUAGAGAUGAAAUAAAUCCCGUUGGAUGGGAGUUUAGUUAGGCAAAGGUUUUAAUGGGAAAAUCAGGAAAAAAUACGAGAACAUAUUUUAUCGACCGAAAGAAUGUAGAUUUCAAGAUCCACUCCGAAAGCUCAAGCUCAGUAUGCUUAGUUCAGGGAAGAGCCUGGGACGGCUGGACGCCACAGGUCAGGGCACUCCAUCUUGGAUCAGGGCCCAAGCCCUGUACUGGGGUUCCUUCUCCUUCCCAGCUCGUGGUGGUGUGGGCUGUUGUGAACUUGUGGGUAUAACUUUUCUGGGUGGAUUUUGAACGAAAAAGGGUGGACUCUAGGGACCAGAUAGAUUUGGCUUCCUCAGAUCUGCCAAACUCUGCCAACUGAACUCACUGACUUUAGAUGGCUCCAGGCAACCGGUGACCUUACUACCACACACACACACACACACACAACCUAUGCUGUCCUCCCGUUCUGAAAUCCUUGAAGUUGGGUUGGGGUAUCUGGGAGAGGCUAGGCCGUCCCCCUUGAACUUUUAUGCUUAUUAGGCACUCACCUAGGAGGUUACCCGUGUCCAGACUUUGAGGCCCAGGACCAGAAUUCUCCUGCUUAUUGCUUUCUGGCAAGCUGGACCUCGGGCCAGAAUGCAGCGGUUUUGGAAUUCAAGAACCAGGACGAAAGGAUCACCUUACUCACUGACUUCGGCUGGGUAUGCGUUUGCAGUCUAGCGGACAGAGCACUGGCUAUAGACCCGGCCUGUAGAGCCCACUAGGCCUUAAUUUCUUUUCUAGUACAGGGGCCUCUCACUCCAUAAAAUUGUUGGGCAGUUAACUGAAGUUGCAGCCACCUAGUGCGGCGGCGCACAGCAGGAUCCGAGAAGGUAGCACGCUGGCGCUUAUUUCUUUCCUCCUCUUGAGCAGUGCUUACUGUUAACCUCAUAAUACCUAGUACUGAUUGUGAUACAACCUGUGGAAAUAGAAUCUACUGUUUCCGGUCCUGGCGAUUUAAGCAGAGGCCCUGUGCAGUUUGUUAAUAACGACUUUCCCCUUUUGCCCUGGUCUCCAAGGUUUCUGUCUUACGGGCAAAAGUGAUCCUAAAGGCUUCACGUAGGGGCCUAACGUCCACUGCUGCUGGUCCUCUUAGAAGUUCAGUUUCGUUUUUUAACAGUUAGUGUGGGGUCUUUACGCCACGCGUCUCCAUCAGGUCAAGGCUUGGAAAGCCACUUUAUGGCGGGAACUGGAAAUAAGUGCUGUGGUCCCGCUGACUUCUGCAGGACCUGAAAGACCUUGCACGUAUGAUCCUCACCCAUCCUCCCGUACGCAGUGGCCCCUAGCGCCUAGAGGUUUCAGUUACUGGCUUCCUAGUCUGAGUCUACACUCUCAGGAUCCAUUUGGGCGCGAGCAGCAGCAGCGGGGGCUAGGCUCAGUUCCCUCCAGCACCGAGCACACCGCCCGCUGGAAAGUCUGGGCUUUCUGAUGGUACCCUGGGAUCUCUGGACUGCUUCCCUCGAGCCCUUAGACCAGCCCCUGGCCUCGCUUUCGCUCCACUUCGAUUACGACCGCGUAUACUCCGAGGAUCUGAGCAUCGGGAGUACAGUCCCUGGUAGAGUACGGACUUUUCUGGGCUCGCGGGAGACCAUGCUGGAGGCCAGGGGCGCCAGCUCUAGAGAAGAGGGACCCAGAGCUCUGAGCAGCAUGGGGGUGGGGCGGGAAAAUACGAGGCGGGCAGAGUGGGAAGUCCUGAAACCUCCCACCUCACCGUGCCAAGCCGACCCUGAACAGCUAGGAAGAGCGCCCGUCCUCGGAAUCAGCGUUCGGAGAGGCGAACUAUGAGACAGGGUAGGUGUGCUCUGGCCUUUCGAAGGCUCACAGAGCCCGGGGCACUGAGACAGAAGGAGUGCUGCAGUUCUGUGCUCGAACUCUGGCUGUUGUCGCAGGCCUGUCCAGACUUCCUUAAAUCUGGGCAAUCGAAAGAUCUUCCGUCGCUGUUCUUCUCCAGCGGCCCUGCAUCUGUGUACACCUGCGGGCUCACUCCAACUGCGAAACCCACAGAGUCGAGAGAGGUGUCGCUUUCUGUCUGGAUACUCAUUGCCAUGCUCUCCCUGGGAUCAGAGACUCAGGGAACGGUGAGGCCAGUGUGCCGGAUGAAUGAAGCGGGAGUGCGGGCCGAAGGAUGAAGAGCGGACACGGCGUGAGGUGAAGAAUGUGAUGUUGCAGAUGAAAUAUUUUCAGAAGCUUUUAUUCUUGUUGUUUGGGCUCCUGGUGACGCGACAAGAACAGAAGGUACCUCUGGCCCUCUGAGCUUUCUAUCGUCCGCUUCUGGCUGUGAGAGGACCUUGUCAAGUCCAAUAGGAUCAUCAUCUGGCAUUCUGCAGGACACAGUCAGGCUCCUCAGAAGUCACCCACACCAUUACCAGAUCCCCGUGGGAGUUGCACUCUGACCAAUCAACCUGAUCCUUGAACUUUCAACCGGCUCUUUUCAGGUACCCACUGAUCACACCCAGGAAACGGGAGCAAGCCUACUCAGGGCCACUUCUAAUUCUUCCGAGCAUAGAGAGCUCUGCUCCCGCAUUACUUAUGGAAGCUUCUGAUAUUCCAUACUGGUGCCAAGAGAGAGAGAGAGAGAGAGAGAGAGAGAGAGAGAGAGAGAGAGAGAGAGAGAGAGAGAGAGAGAGAGAGAGAACCUCGGUGUAUACCUGUGGGGGUGGUAUGAGAAGCUGGCCCCAAAGAGGGGCUGGCCCAAGGGACUGUACACAUUAGAGGGCCUUGGAAGCUGACCAAGCUUAUUACCACCUGCUUGCUGCACAUAGUGAGGGUUUUAAGAUGGUCACGAGUGAGUACUUUGGGCUGAGUGGGUCACCCUAGACAGGAACGUUCACUGAAACAAGUGGCAGUGUGUGGUCCUGGUGUGGACCUGCAUGGGCACAGGGAUGACCUGCACUUUGGCGACUGUUCCUAUAGGCAAAAAGUCUACCUGUGCUUCUGAUGAUAGAUGUCUACCUGUGGGGUUUUGCUCAAUCUACUUGCAUAUGACUGGCGCAUGCCCAGGGCUACCAGCUGACGGAAUAGACCUGGUCAGCAGGGAAAUAGACUGUGGCCAUGGUGGGCACGGAUGCCUUGGUGUGGAAAGAGCAACCAGACAGUUUCUACAUAACCAUGCAAGGGGCCAUAUGCCUCACAAGGGAGAAAGUGACAUCUCUGGGAUCGAGGAAAGGCUUAUCCAUUGACUGUGCCUGGUGGUUAGCUCUAAGCAGUCCAACAAAAGCAUCCUUCUACAGUCGGGAAAAGGACCUUGGAGAAACACAGACACACCAGAGGGUCUAUGGCUUGGGACUGAGAUGACUGUGGACCACAAAGACCAGCACACUGCAACACUCCAAAUGCCUGAACAUUAAGCCUGCUGUGUGCUGUGUGUUACGGGUGCUGUGGCAGCAUGGCCCUCCUGGCAAGGUGGGACAGGAAGGUCUCCAUUCCAUAGAAGAAGAAGCCUCUGCAGCUGUCCAGUAGCUGUUCCCAGUCAGCCUGGCUACAGGGGGUGAAACCAGCCAGUGGGCAUAGCCACAACUCAUCUGGCCUAGGGGAAUGCACCUGCAACCCCUCCUUCCAGCAGGGACUGUCCCCUUGCCACCUGCACUAAACCCUUUAUUCUGCUGUGGGGCCCAAAUUAUUUUUGUUUUCCCGGUGUACAGCUGGCCUCAGAUGGACCCCCCCACCCCCACCCCACCCCCACUCCCAGGGAUGGACUGGUCUAAGAAGAAACAUGCAUCUCAUGCCAGUGGAGUUGGCUCUGUGUUUUCCUGUGUGCCGCUCGCUCCCUCCCAUCAACACCAGCAUUCCUAGCAACGGUGGGCAAAGCAUGCGCCUCUUCAUCUUCUCUGCUCCUCGAAACGGGUCUGUGUAGAGCUGGCUGUCUCGGGGCUCUCUCUACUAUAGACCUGGUUAGCCUGGAACUCACAGAGAUCCUUUUGCCUCUUCAUCCGGAAUUCUGGGAUUAAAGGUGGUCUCUAAGUCUGAAAAAAAGGAUUGCUACAGAAACUGUAAUUGGCUAACUUAACUGUCAGACAGCCUCCUAUCAACCAACCACAAGUGCUUCUGAGCCACCCAAGAACCUGGAACCAAACAUGUGCCUCACUGUUCAACACCGUCACUCCGGCACACUGUGCGGAGGCUGGGACUGAAGAAGGACAGCCUUUCCCCAUCUUGACCCAUUACCCUUCUUUUCUCCAUUGAGGCACCCACCAGCUCAGCAGUCCCCAAACCUGUCAUGAAAGCCAUUCAGGAGAGCCACACGGUUCUCUAUGUCCUGCCCUCCCAGAUGUUGCUCCUCAGAGACUGCCCCCAGGCACCUCCAGGCACCAGACUGAGGAUCCAGUAGCCACAGUGGUCCUGGAACCCAGAGGAGCGACACAGCCAACCUAGGGUUUCCUCAGAGCUGCCCUUGCCAACCCCUGGGUGGUACCUUGCUGGAAGGAGGGGUCCCACGCCCAGGAGCAAGUGCUGCACACACCUGG